This is a long non-coding RNA of Acanthaster planci (crown-of-thorns starfish), 608 nucleotides long. RefSeq lists it as uncharacterized. The record is from RefSeq and is a predicted model, not a curated record. Lineage: Eukaryota; Metazoa; Echinodermata; Asteroidea; Valvatida; Acanthasteridae.
GAGCGCACAUAAUUUUGCGCGCGAUGAACUGGCUUGCGUGGUCUUCCUGCACUGCAGUAAAUGCGGUAAUACCAGCCAUUCCAGUGGAGAAUGCUAACAUGUUAAACGAGAAGUUGCACUUUUCUUUUACAUCAAAUCUGGUCACACUCAAUAUCUCAAGCAUUAAUCUGUGAUCAUCACCAACCAGGAGAACCCAAACAGCAGCAUCUGGAUUCAGAUUAGGAUUCCCUUCCGGUCAAUCAAAAUCCUGUUGAAAGAAGGCAUCAACAAACAAACAGAGACUAAAACAAAUUAAAGGUAGGUCUUAAUUUUUUUUCGUCUCUUCAUCUGAUCUUUCACAGUGAUACAUAGCUUGCGUUUGAGAGCAUUGAAACUUUUAUUUUGUAAGCCAAAACUUUAACAAUGAAGACUUUGGAUGGUGGUUAUACAAGUUGCAGGGGCCAGGGAAAAUACUCAAAUUUCUUUGUUUCACUAGGCUUAAAUUGUUCCCCUGACAUCAGACCGUACUACUUCACGGCAACGCAGUCAGUUAAUGUUACCCACCCCUUGCCAAAGAUUAUGUUCAAAAAGGGGCACUUCAGAUUGGUGUAUAUAAGAAAUACAAGAGU